Molecule: long non-coding RNA, 1251 nt
Organism: Medicago truncatula (barrel medic)
Lineage: Eukaryota; Viridiplantae; Streptophyta; Magnoliopsida; Fabales; Fabaceae
Exons: 2
Source: RefSeq, a predicted model, not a curated record
UAGUACUUGAUUUUUUUAAUUUAUGUCACGAUUCUUUGAUAUCACAAAGAAUCGCAAUCAUAUGUGUUCUGAUUAUAGUUUAUGAAGAGUGACAUCUUUAAUUCCUUUUAUGAGGAUGAAUUCGGUCCAACGUAAAAGCUUAAAGAUGGUGUCGGAGUUUGGUUUUGAUCCAAAGACAUGUGUAUUAUGUUACAGUUCAAAUUACAGUUGCAUACCUUUUUUAUAGGACACUUCAUGACCGUGGUCCAUAUCCACCAGAUCAAGUUGCUAAGGAACUUGAUGGUAGUUUUUCCUUUGUUGUUUAUGACAGCACAGUUGGAACUGUUUUUUCUGCACUGCUAUAUAUAUAUAUAUAUUUGUUACUCUACCAUGUUCUUUGUCAACAAUUCUUCAAAAUCUCAACCCAUCAAUGAAUGAUCUUAAUAUUAUACAAGAGGGUUGUGCUAAUCUGUAUAAUACAAUAAAUCAUACAAAAUCAUUGUUUGGAGAAUGUAGAAAGAGUCCUUUGGUCAUUUGGGUGUGGUGAAUCUUUACAUGUAAAUUAUUUCUGAGAGAUGGAGAUAGUAAGAUUAUCUUUCGGUUCUGCUGUUUUCUAUUGUCCUUGUUAUUUUUUGCUGUCAUGGCCUGUUGUUGGUGUAUCGUUCCCUUGCCCUUUUAGGUAUUGCUUGUGUCGGGGCCUGUUGUUGGUGUGUUGUUUAGGCUGGCGCGGUCUGAAGGCCUUCUGCAGCUGCUGAGGCUUUGAUAACAUGUUAAUUGACAUUUAAGGGUCAAGCAACAUUUAAGAGUUUCCCUGAUAGCUCGGUAUGGUGGUGAUCGCUUUUUGCUUGACACGCUAAAGACCAUGUAUCCUUCAAGCGUUUCUUAAGCUUGGCAGUUAUCUCCAAGCUGAGGCAGAUUGUACAAAAGCAAUAAGUCUUGACAAAAAGAGUAUGAAGGCGUACUUCCAUACAGGUACAAUUAGAGAGAUGCUGGGCUACUACAAAGAAGCAAUUGAUGAUUUUAAAUAUACCCCUGUACUUGAGCCAACCAACAAAAGGGCUGCUUGAGCUGCUGAAAGAUUGAGGAAUCUAAUACUCAAGAAGAGUUGAAGGAUUUGCAAGGAUUUUGAGUUAGGAGGGAGAUCAAGAUCAAAUUUUCCUAUAUUAUGAUAAUUACUUUAUUAUGUUAGUUUUUAGAUUGUACGAAUAUUAUUGAUAUAUUCAUGGUUUUGUACGAAAAUGAUUUAUGGAUUGUACGAAUAUUAUGAUGAUA